ACAACGACCGUUGAAAUGUCUCCUCUAUCCGAAAUGACUGUGUCGAGGCAUUGCAUGUUAAGCACCCGAGACUCAUCGCCAAAAGCUUUCCAGUGUAAGCCUAAUGCAAUUCCAAUGUGGGUUACUUUCACUGGGUACCAGCUCGCUAUUCGAAUAUGACGCCGUCGUCCAAAACCCACAACGAUCCUACCCUCCACCUCAACAGCAUCUCAACUCCGGUACCUUCGAAAAAAGUAUCCCCCACCCAACUUCCCGUUCUCCAGAUGCAAUCCUUUCCCCUACAUUCCGCGAAUGAACAUCACGAAACCCUCCCACGCCUAACGUCGCCUGCACUCGCCUCCUCGUUCCCAAAUCUCUCAACUACGGCAAG
This is a non-coding RNA of Physcomitrium patens, 370 nucleotides long. Lineage: Eukaryota; Viridiplantae; Streptophyta; Bryopsida; Funariales; Funariaceae. The record is from RefSeq and is a predicted model, not a curated record.